Molecule: ribosomal RNA, 229 nt
Filed under: uncultured bacterium
Lineage: Bacteria
Description: partial 16S ribosomal RNA
Rfam family: Bacterial small subunit ribosomal RNA
Source: RNAcentral
GACGAGCGCUGGCGGCGUGCUUAACACAUGCAAGUCGAGCGGUAAGGCCCUUUCGGGGGUACACGAGCGGCGAACGGGUGAGUAACACGUGGGUGACCUGCCCUCAGCUCUGGGAUAAGCCCGGGAAACUGGGUCUAAUACCGGAUAUGACUCCAUGACGCAUGUUGUGGGGUGGAAAGCCUUGUGCGGCUGAGGAUGGGCCCGCGGCCUAUCAGCUUGUUGGUGGGGU